GAUGAACGCUGGCGGCGUGCUUAACACAUGCAAGUCGAGCGAAGCGCUCACGCGGAAUUUUUCGGAAGGAAGCGGGAGCGACUUAGCGGCGGACGGGUGAGUAACGCGUGGGUAACCUGCCCCAUACCGGGGGAUAACGGUUAGAAAUGACCGCUAAUACCGCUUAAGCGCGCGAGGCCGCAUGGCCGCGCGCGAAAAACUCCGGUGGUAUGGGAUGGGCCCGCGUCUGAUUAGCUGGUUGGCGGGGUAACGGCCCACCAAGGCGACGAUCAGUAGCCGACCUGAGAGGGUGGCCGGCCACAUUGGGACUGAGACACGGCCCAA
Molecule: ribosomal RNA, 324 nt
Filed under: uncultured bacterium
Lineage: Bacteria
Description: bacterial SSU rRNA
Rfam family: Bacterial small subunit ribosomal RNA
Source: RNAcentral